UACGUAGGUGGCAAGCGUUGUCCGGAUUUACUGGGCGUAAAGGGCGUGCAGGCGGUCUGUUAAGUUCAGGGUGAAAGCUCCCGGCUCAACUGGGAGAGGUCCUCGGAUACUGGCAGACUUGAGGAGGGUAGAGGAGAGUGGAAUUCCCGGUGUAGUGGUGAUAUGCGUAGAUAUCGGGAGGAACACCAGUGGCGAAGGCGGCUCUCUGGGCCCUACCUGACGCUGAGACGCGAAAGCGUGGGGAGCGAACCGG
This 253-nucleotide ribosomal RNA is filed under the name uncultured bacterium. Its description in RNAcentral is "partial 16S ribosomal RNA". It matches the Rfam family "Bacterial small subunit ribosomal RNA", at positions 524 to 776 of the family's 1533-position model. The record is from RNAcentral.